RNAcentral lists this long non-coding RNA (969 nucleotides) under Mus musculus (house mouse). RNAcentral's name for it is "predicted gene, 50236". The record is from RNAcentral. Lineage: Eukaryota; Metazoa; Chordata; Mammalia; Rodentia; Muridae.
AGAACCAGAUGGACUUCCUCUCUAUUCCAACAUAAAAUAUUGAUGAGCCCAAUCUUCCACAGCCUUAAUCGCAGCUGUAGCUCAUGGGCACAACUGCCACGGCAUGUCAGGAAAUAGUUUCCCAAGAAUUCCACGGACUUGAUAUUAUAGUGCCGUGUACUGGAAACACAUGAGAAUGUACCUACUUAUUUCACUUUAAUUUUUUUUAAUUUACUCAAAAAUUUAGAACAACACAGUACAUCUUAGUUUGGAUGAGUCAUAUCUGAGAAGCAACCAUACUUAAUCCCGCAAGAGGAUACGAAACAAAAUCAGCUUGGAUGGUACCUUCUGGAACUAUGAACAUGAAUCAGCAGCCUCCUUCCCACUUUCACGUUGUUGUGUGGAUACUGGAAGUCGUCUAGUGGUUUGCCAAGCUCAUUCUCCGAGAUGGACAAAAACUGGACACUCAGGAAAGACAGAAAGUCAAGCACCAGAGAAAGACAAAGUUGCUUCUCUAUUGCUUUGGGAAGGAAGGAGCUCCGUAGCUGUAAUUCAGCUAAACAGGCCCUGGCUUGGAUGUUUUAUAGGGUUCCUGAAUCCUCUCCUUUCCCUUAUCGGUCCAGUUCAGAUUCCCAUCUUCAAUGUCUUCUGUCUAAGGGAGACUUCUUUUGCUUUCCGUGUGAUAGUUUGAAUGAGAUGUUCACAACAGUUUAGAGCAUUUGAUGACUUAGUCAACAGUUGGAGCUACUGUUUAGGUAGGAUUAGAUGUGACUUUGUUGGAGGAAGUCUGUCACCGGGGGCAUGCUUUGAGGUUUCUAAAGCCAUACACUGUUACCAGUUUGUUCUUUCUGCUUUAGUUAUAGCCCAGGAUGUUCUCUCAGCUACUGUGCCAGGAGCCAUGCCUGCCUGCUGUCAAAGUUCCUACUGUGAUGGUAAUGGACUCUUAUGUCUCUGAAACCAUAAGCCCAAAUAAACCCUCCCUUCUAUUAA